GUUUCCACGGCUGGCAGCCCGGCUCCCUGCCGCCCGCCCGCUUCUGGGCUUCUUGGCUGGGGCUGCUCCUGACAGAAGGGAUGCGUGUUGUCGGGGGCGGGGGGCGGCGUGUGUGCGUGUGCGUGUGCGAGAGUAUGUGUGUGCGCUUAAAAUACAAAAAAAAGAAGGCUGGCUACACUCAGCUGCGAGAGGCUGGCCGGGCUCCGUCCGUGCCAAUUCCCUCCGAGCUGGCACCGUGGGGACCGGGAGGGGGGAGAGGUGAGGGAAGAUGGACGCUUGCCACGGACGAGCGGCAGGGCUGGGCGCCUCCCCGGUGCCAGCGGGCGCACGGGGCCAAAACUCACAAACAAAAACCGCAGCAGAUCGCUGGCAGCCCGUCCUGGGGAGGCGGCAGCCACUUGGCAGAGGAGCCAUGGAGGACCCGGUAGGGAGUAGGCGGCCGGCGCACAGGUGGCCUCAAACAGCCUCAGAACCUUUCCUGACACAGAUUUCGGGCAGGCACGAUGAACUGACUGGCCUGGAAGAUGACUCUUGUUUGCCGUCCUGAAUUCCAAGGGCGCCGUCCAGCCAAGAUGCUGAAGUGUAAGGUCCUGUUGACUCUGUCCAUCGUCCUCACGACACUGUGGGUACAUUGUGGGUUCCGGACUGCCUCUUCAACUCUGCAUUUUCCUGACACACAGGAAUGGGCCCCAGGAAAUGCUGGUGGAGAGAAAUGAAUGACUAACUGUUUAUAAUUCUAAGUCCUUUUGCUUCUGAGCCUGGACAGGACAAUGGCUGGGGUCCUAGGACCUACAUCUGCUCCUGAUGCAAGCAAAGUGUUGGAUCCCAUCAGGAGCUCCAGCCUCACACUCACGUUUUAGGAAACUCCCGGAUGGAGCACGCAAUGUGAGCCCCAGUUAACCAACACAGUGCGUCUCCUUGGCCACAUUUAGGCUCAGGGGUAGGCCCACAACACCGUCAGAGCAAAUGAGAUGCAACAAGGUUUCCCCACCCAUUGGGAAUUCUUGGAGGUGGCCCCUCGCUCGUUCCCCAGGGUGGACACUGGGAGGAUUGUAGGGGUCAAGUUCAGCAUCUUGCAAUCACAAGAGGCCUGAGAAUGGAAGCAACAUUAGGAUCUUGGUGUUGGAGAAGUUAAAGAGAGAAACCAAGUCCUGGAUUAACCUGUUCCUGAAGCUUGAUCAAUCCCAUGGUCACCCCAGUAUAUGAGCCAAUAAAUUUGCUUUUUGGUUUAAGACCAUUUUGGGUGGAUUUUCCAUCCUUCACAAAAGAGGA
Molecule: long non-coding RNA, 1272 nt
Filed under: Equus asinus (donkey)
Lineage: Eukaryota; Metazoa; Chordata; Mammalia; Perissodactyla; Equidae
Description: lncRNA (ENSEASG00005037216.1)
Source: RNAcentral